GGGGUUGUGGCUCAGUUGUAGAGCAUUCACCUAGCAUGUGUGAGGCCCUGGGUUUGAUUCUCAGAACCACA
RNAcentral lists this transfer RNA (71 nucleotides) under Ictidomys tridecemlineatus (thirteen-lined ground squirrel). RNAcentral's name for it is "Spermophilus tridecemlineatus (thirteen-lined ground squirrel) tRNA". It matches the Rfam family "tRNA". Rfam says of the family: Transfer RNA (tRNA) molecules are approximately 80 nucleotides in length. Lineage: Eukaryota; Metazoa; Chordata; Mammalia; Rodentia; Sciuridae. The record is from Rfam by way of RNAcentral.